Molecule: long non-coding RNA, 746 nt
Organism: Lolium rigidum
Lineage: Eukaryota; Viridiplantae; Streptophyta; Magnoliopsida; Poales; Poaceae
Exons: 3
Source: RefSeq, a predicted model, not a curated record
AUAUGCCAUGUAGUGCAUGUCAAACGUUUUCAUUUGAUUUGCUAUCUUGCCGUUUUAAUAAAAUAACGGUCCAACAUUUCUGGUACUAUAGCAGUAUUGUCGGUUUUGCAGUACACAUGCUUUACUUUGUUUUUCUUAAAAUUUCAUUACCAUUUUCAGCAACAAUGUACUGCUGCAUUAUGGUUGAUUAUAUUUCUGAACUGGUUCAAAUGAUACAUUCCCGGCUAGGGGUUGUUGGCAACCGCGACACAUGUGCAAUGAAAGAAGCAAUGUCGCCAGAGGCCUCAGUAAGCAACAAUGUACUGCUGCAUUAUGGUUGAUUAUAUUUCUGAACUGGUUCAAAUGAGGAUGGGAGGCUGCUACUUAGGAGGCGCUCAUGGUACCAGGUCUCCAUAGACCUGACUGUUUCAGAAUGGGAACAAGGCAAUGGUAGCUCGUUGAGAUUUGGAUGCUGAACUUCCAGUUGAGGAAGUUCCUUUACUACAGCUGUUUAGGUGGUGAAGGUGUGAGUGUCCUUGCAGUGGCGGUCAACAACAGCGGGUUGUAUUGUCAGUUGCUUUGUAAGGAAAAUAACACUUGUUUUAAAGGGGACUCCAUCCGAUUAAACAGAAGAUUGUUUAAUAAAUACAGUACAUAGUUUGUAUGAUUCGUCAGGUAACCCUUAGUUGAAGUUGAGUCUGUGCAUAUGAUUUCUAUAUACAUCGAAACCUCCAGCGUCCACCUUCAGUCAUUUUCUUUUCCCUGAA